Molecule: transfer RNA, 87 nt
Filed under: Mizugakiibacter sediminis
Lineage: Bacteria; Pseudomonadati; Pseudomonadota; Gammaproteobacteria; Lysobacterales; Rhodanobacteraceae
Description: tRNA-Leu
Rfam family: tRNA
About the family: Transfer RNA (tRNA) molecules are approximately 80 nucleotides in length. Their secondary structure includes four short double-helical elements and three loops (D, anti-codon, and T loops).
Source: RNAcentral
GCCGAAGUGGCGGAACCGGUAGACGCGACGGACUCAAAAUCCGUUUCUGGCGACAGAGUGUGGGUUCGAGUCCCACCUUCGGCACCA